UUGGUCAUUUAGAGGAAGUAAAAGUCGUAACAAGGUCUCCGUUGGUGAACCAGCGGAGGGAUCAUUACUGAGUUAUCAAAACUCCAAACCCUUUGUGAACCUUACCGUCGUUGCCUCGGCGUGAGCUACGGCUACCCUGUAACUACCCUGGAGCUACCCUAGAGUUACCCUAUAGCUACCCUGCACUUACCCUGCAGCUACCCUAUAGCUACCCUAGAGCUACCCUGGAGCUACCCUGUAGUCGGCUUCGGCCCGCCGAAGGACCGUUAAACUCUUGUUUUUACCACUGUUUCUCUGAAUUUUAAACCAAAAUAAGUUAAAACUUUCAACAACGGAUCUCUUGGUUCUGGCAUCGAUGAAGAACGCAGCGAAAUGCGAUAAGUAAUGUGAAUUGCAGAAUUCAGUGAAUCAUCGAAUCUUUGAACGCACAUUGCGCCCAUUAGUAUUCUAGUGGGCAUGCCUAUUCGAGCGUCAUUUCGACCCCUAAGCCCCUGUUGCUUAGCGUUGGGAAUCUACGGCGUAGUUCCUCAAAGUUAGUGGCGGAGUUAGGGUACACUCUCAGCGUAGUAAUUUCUCUCGCUCGUGUGGUGGCCCUGGCUGCUAGCCGUUAAAACCCCUAUAUUUUCUAGUGGUUGACCUCGGAUUAGGUAGGAAUACCCGCUGAACUUAAGCAUAUCAAUAA
This 682-nucleotide ribosomal RNA is filed under the name fungal sp. ARIZ B118. RNAcentral describes it as "eukaryotic LSU rRNA". The stretch from base 321 to 474 matches the Rfam family "5.8S ribosomal RNA". The record is from RNAcentral. Lineage: Eukaryota; Fungi.